GAAAUCAGCUACUACUCCUGGAGAAGUAAGAUUACAUGGGCAUCAGGAAUUCACUAUAUGAUGACUAUUAGUACUAACUUAAAAUCUGACAUGAUGAUCAUAAUCUCCUUAUAUGUUUCUGCAUUCAAAAAUUGAAUUAAAAAUCUCUUCUAAGGUUUUAUAGGUUCAACCAAGACAUUUCUCCUCUAGUUCUAUUUUGUUUAGAAGGAAUAUGAUUCCUUAGAGACAAAUUCUCCUACCCUGCAGGUUUUUAUGAACUGAUUAUAUCACCUGGGACUGGUUACAAGUGACACACUGAUCUGGUCAACUUAGCUUAAAGUGGAGCUUACAUCUGAAGCACCAGGCUUGAAAAGGACAAUUUGCAGAGCAGCAGGAAUCAGGAAUCUUGGAAGAACACUGCUGCAGGGCAGAAAGCUGGAUUUCCCUGAAUCCUCUUCUCUCUUCUAACCCUGAAGCUGGGUUAGAGUUCACCAAUGAGGACAGAUCAGAAAGAAGAGGUGGGGCCAUUAUUUACUCUCUAAGGAGGUGCUU
Molecule: long non-coding RNA, 531 nt
Filed under: Bos grunniens (domestic yak)
Lineage: Eukaryota; Metazoa; Chordata; Mammalia; Artiodactyla; Bovidae
Description: lncRNA (ENSBGRG00000026059.1)
Source: RNAcentral